AUACAGAGGUUGCGAGCGUUAAUCGGAAUUACUGGGCGUAAAGGGCGCGUAGGUGGUUAGGUCAGUCGGAUGUGAAAGCCCCGGGCUCAACUCGGGAAUUGCAUUCGAUACUGCCUGGCUUGAGUAUGGUAGAGGGAAGUGGAAUUCCGGGUGUAGCGGUGAAAUGCGUAGAUAUCCGGAGGAACACCAGUGGCGAAGGCGGCUUCCUGGACCAAUACUGACACUGAGGCGCGAAAGCGUGGGGAGCAAACAGGAUUAGAAACCCCGGUAGUCC
RNAcentral lists this ribosomal RNA (274 nucleotides) under uncultured bacterium. RNAcentral describes it as "partial 16S ribosomal RNA". It matches the Rfam family "Bacterial small subunit ribosomal RNA", at positions 523 to 796 of the family's 1533-position model. The record is from RNAcentral.